RNAcentral lists this long non-coding RNA (1018 nucleotides) under Gadus morhua (Atlantic cod). RNAcentral describes it as "lncRNA (ENSGMOG00000032202.1)". The record is from RNAcentral. Lineage: Eukaryota; Metazoa; Chordata; Actinopteri; Gadiformes; Gadidae.
GUGAGGGGAAAAACGGUCUGUCUAGUUACUGGACCAGAUGAAAUGAGACGGAGAGGUAAUAAAGUCUGUCGGCACGAGGACCUUGGAUUUAUUAAGUAAAGUGGCAACGGUUAUACAGAGUCAUAAAGCAUGAGAAAUCGAAUAUGUCUAAGUCCCUAAUCAGCGCUGAUGGUUCGUCCAGAGCUUCGCCUCCGUGGAAGGUCUGCUUCAGAAGAAGAUGAAGAGUCCCUGUGUGAUAUAGUUUUAUGCUGUAUCCUCCUCUCGAUGAGGUGUGUGCGUUUGAGGUGUGUGUGGUUCUGUGUGUUUUUGCUUGGCCUUGGCUCCCAGGCCCUGGUGUGUAUCCUCCUCUCGAUGAGGUGUGUGCGUUUGAGGUGUGUGUGGUUCUGUGUGUUUUUGCUUGGCCUUGGCUCCCAGGCCCUGGUGUGUAUCCCUUGUGUUCUUCCUAACGGGGGAGAGCUUCGAAAUGUCUCCUGUGUGAUAAAUUAAUGUGGCUCUCAGGCCCUGGUAUAUGCCUCCUAAAGGGGGAGAGCUCCUCGUGUCUCCGGUGUGAUAAAUUAAAACGGGGGAGUGCCCCCCCCGAAGUGUCUCGUGUGUGAUAAUUUAAUGUGGCUCUCAGGCCCUUGGUAUGGGCAGGUGUUUCUCUUGGUUCCUUCUAACGGGGGAGAGCUUCAAAGUGUCUCCUGUGUGAUAAAUUAAUGUGGCUCUCCCGUUCUUGAGGAUGACUGGUGCAUUGUCUGAGUGUCCACCAUCUGCCAGCCUGGGAAAUGGGGCCUUCGGCUCCGGCCUUGACCUGACUAUAUAUUAUCAUGUUUGUGUUCGUUGGGUUAGAGCAAGAGUUGACUAUAUUGUAAUGUGUCUGCCAUGUGAUGUGCUCAUCAGGCUAGGGUAGGAGUUAGCUAUAUUUAUAAUGUACAUGUGAUGUACUCAGCAGGUUAUUUUGCCCAACAGUAGCCUCCCGAAGGCCUUCUCCACAACCGGCCCGGCUCGGGACGGACGGUCGCUGAACACCCGGCGCUCU